This is a non-coding RNA of Oryctolagus cuniculus (rabbit), 1620 nucleotides long. NCBI's taxonomy places the organism in Eukaryota, Metazoa, Chordata, Mammalia, Lagomorpha, Leporidae. The record is from RefSeq and is a predicted model, not a curated record.
GGAUGGAGUAAGAACGGAAGCUGGGAGAAGAGUUUGGAAACAUCACAGCAGUGUAGGGAAGCAGAUGAAGGCAGCUUGUCCGAUAGUGGUGUUAAUGAAGACGCAGGGGCAUUUGGAUAGAAUCUAAAGAGAAACACAGUACACAGUAACUAACAUAUAAGAGGAGCAUUUGUUCAACCCUCUGACUUCUCUAGUGAAUGGCAAUUAUCAGCAAAAUUUACCAAACUGACAUAGAUGAUACAAGUAAGACAUACCCAUGGAGGUGAAUGGCUCUGCAGAGGUGGGUUUGUCUAUUUUAUGAGACAGGAGCUACAGCCCAUGGUGACUGGCACAGCAGACUAACAAGAAGCAUAUGGAGAGAAAUACUGGUGUACAAGCUGAGCAUUUGACUCUGAUCCCGGAGGCAAUGGGGAUACUACUGAGUGUGAAACAGCAUAAUAUAAAUGUUUAUGGGAAGCCAUCACAGCAGUGGAUUUGGAUUCCAGUUUACACAGAUUUCUCCAGUUUCCUUGAACAGUUCCAGUCCUCACAGGACUCUGAUCACAGGGCCCGGGAGUUAUGAAGAGAAACUGGCAGCACAUUCUUGGUAACUAAUUUCUUCCAACUAUCUAUGACUGAUUCUACCAAGUCAUAGGUCCACUUUGCAGAAAAUGGCUCUGUCUUCAUCAUCCCCACCAAAGAAUGCUACAGGAAGACUCUCACAGAAAUUCAGUUGAUCAUGCAAGAUGAAACCUGCAUGCCUUCCUUGCAUUACACAAUAAAAUUGGAGCGUCACAGACCCCCCACUCUUGAUACAAGAAACACCUGACUUCAGUGAGGACAGAAUUAGAGGAUGAAUUCAGCCUGAUGUGUUCUUCCAUAUGGAAAAACUCAGAUUAUUUCUAUGUCUCUUAGUCGUAUCUACAGGACAUUGGGGCUAUGCAAUGACGCAUCUGGUGAUUCUGGAAGGAGAAUCUGAGCGUCGGAGUCCAGACAGUUUGGUUUGGGAUGAGUUGCCUUUUAGGAAUAAGCGCUCCGUAGCUUUUCCCUCUAGGAAAGGUUCUUUUGCAGGGAGAGAAGGAUCAGAGAGAGGUGAGAAGCAGGUCUUCCCUUGUCCUGACUUGUGCUUAGUCAAGCUGCCUUGAAUGAACUCUUAGGACCAGUAUGGAGAAGCUCACUUGUCUGAGGAUGUGAACUAUGUUCUUCAAUAGUGCCUUAUUCUUCAUUUGCUUUAUCCCAUUGUCUUAUUUCUCAAUUGUUCAGAAAUUUGAUAAAGAUCAGAAUGGUACUAUUAGGCUGUGUCAAAAACCCCAAAAGAUAGCAGCAUACAAAGCACGGAGAACAGCAAGCAGUCAGGGUAACUGUUCUGUUCCACCAAUAAGAAGGACUUAAUUAAAUUGCCCAGAAUGCAAAAGCUGGACAGGUUCUCCUAGGUAAUAUCUAAGCAGACAACUGUUAUUUAUGACAUCUUUCUUCUUGGCACAGGUAAUAGACUGUCCCCAUAGUCCUAAAUUUCCUUAGCCAUACUCUAUUUCUGCUUCCCAAGAGUGAGUGCCAAUCAAUCCCAGAAUAGCUCCUUAUUAUACACUCAGAAUGAAGACUCGUAUAUUUGAUGAAAAUGAAAAUUACACAUUUAAGUUG